RNAcentral lists this ribosomal RNA (491 nucleotides) under uncultured bacterium. RNAcentral's name for it is "partial 16S ribosomal RNA". It matches the Rfam family "Bacterial small subunit ribosomal RNA", at positions 29 to 507 of the family's 1533-position model. The record is from RNAcentral.
GUGAACGCUGGCGGUAGGCCUAACCCAUGCAAGUCGAACGGCAGCACAGUAAGAGCUUGCUCUUACGGGUGGCGAGUGGCGGACGGGUGAGGAAUACAUCGGAAUCUACUUUUUCGUGGGGGAUAACGUAGGGAAACUUACGCUAAUACCGCAUACGACCUACGGGUGAAAGCAGGGGAUCUUCGGACCUUGCGCGAUUGAAUGAGCCGAUGUCGGAUUAGCUAGUUGGCGGGGUAAAGGCCCACCAAGGCGACGAUCCGUAGCUGGUCUGAGAGGAUGAUCAGCCACACUGGAACUGAGACACGGUCCAGACUCCUACGGGAGGCAGCAGUGGGGAAUAUUGGACAAUGGGCGCAAGCCUGAUCCAGCCAUACCGCGUGGGUGAAGAAGGCCUUCGGGUUGUAAAGCCCUUUUGUUGGGAAAGAAAAGCAGCAGGUUAAUACCCCGCUGUUCUGACGGUACCCAAAGAAUGAGCACCGGCUAACUUCGUG